UAAGAAGCGAUGAUAGGAAGAGUAGUCGGAUGUGGUUCGUUAAGAGAGAGGCUCCCUGGCUGGAAGGGCCUUCUUACCUAUCUGAUGAACGUCACCCUGGAGCUUUUUACCUGAAAUGGAGUAGGGUAAAACGCGGCCCGGCGUUACUGGGGAUCCCAAGCGCAUCAGUUUGCCUAUGUAGGCACGAUGAAUAAAGGUGGUACCGCGGAGCCCAUCCGUCCUUUGG
This 226-nucleotide non-coding RNA is filed under the name Marininema halotolerans. RNAcentral's name for it is "T-box sequence". It matches the Rfam family "T-box leader". Rfam says of the family: Uncharged tRNA acts as the effector for transcription antitermination of genes in the T-box leader family. T-boxes are found upstream of many aminoacyl-tRNA synthetase genes and some amino acid biosynthetic genes usually in Gram-positive bacteria. Lineage: Bacteria; Bacillati; Bacillota; Bacilli; Caryophanales; Thermoactinomycetaceae. The record is from RNAcentral.